AUCCAUAUGACGAGUGUUAAACAGGACGAAAUGGGCAUCCUGGAU
RNAcentral lists this non-coding RNA (45 nucleotides) under Trichobilharzia regenti. Lineage: Eukaryota; Metazoa; Platyhelminthes; Trematoda; Strigeidida; Schistosomatidae. The record is from RNAcentral.